UUGGGAGCUCACUAGCUUCGGAUUCCGUCGGAACUCCGAAGUUAAGCGAGAAGAAGGCCAGAGCACUCCCAAGAUGGGUGACCCACUGGGAAGUUGCUCGUGAGUUCCCAAAAACAAAAUCGUGAGGGCUUGGUAAGCCCAAAGCGGAUAAUAUCGUGCUACGGUGGUGGAACGGGCUCGGAUGUGGUGGACCCGGGCCGGGAUGUGACAAAUGGUAUCAGAGCCAAUCUCUGGCCGGAAGUGUGCCGACGAGGACGUCGGGCCCCUUAGAGGGGUGAUUGUAACAUCCCACAUCGCCCAAGGGAGUGAUCUUUAAAUGUAUAUUCCUAUUCCUACCUAGCACGAGGCUUUUUGGGAGUUCACUGGCUUCGGAUUUCGUUGGAACUCCGAAGUUAAGCGAGAAGGAGGCCAGAGCACUCCCAAGAUGGGUGACCUACUGGGAAGUUGCUCGUGAGUUCCCAAA
RNAcentral lists this small RNA (463 nucleotides) under Malus domestica (apple). Lineage: Eukaryota; Viridiplantae; Streptophyta; Magnoliopsida; Rosales; Rosaceae. The record is from RNAcentral.